Molecule: ribosomal RNA, 409 nt
Filed under: Pristimantis koehleri
Lineage: Eukaryota; Metazoa; Chordata; Amphibia; Anura; Strabomantidae
Description: partial large subunit ribosomal RNA
Rfam family: Bacterial large subunit ribosomal RNA
Source: RNAcentral
CUUGCCUCCAUAAGAGGUCCAGCCUGCCCAGUGACCUAGUUCAACGGCCGCGGUAUCCUAACCGUGCGAAGGUAGCGUAAUCACUUGUCUUCUAAAUAAAGACUAGUAUGAAAGACACCACGAGAACUUAACUGUCUCCCUUUUCUAAUCAGUGAAACUAAUCUCCCCGUGAAGAAGCGGGGAUCUUCAAAUUAGACGAGAAGACCCUAUGGAGCUUUAAACACUAACCACUUGCCCGCACAUUAAUUACCCAGGUUUCCUCAAUCAACGCAAUAUGAUUACGUGUUUUUGGUUGGGGUGACCGCGGAAAAUAACUAAACUUCCACAAUGAUAACCAUCCAAACUAUAAGCUACAGCUUUAAGUAUCAACAAAUUGACAUUCAUUGACCCAAUAUAUUGAUUAAUGAAC